CUUAUAAAAAGUCCGUGACACUGAAGUAAGUCAAAUUGUUUUUAGAAAGUCGCGCACUCGCUACACGUUUCACCGUGUAAUUAAUUUUCUCGGACUAUUUUUGUCGCGAAUCGUGUAAAUGGUUUUUUGUCGUACCUAGAUUUAUGUACGCAGGCGCGUACCUAUUUUCGUGUGAACAAUAUUCUUUUGCGUAUUUUUGUCCCC
Molecule: non-coding RNA, 204 nt
Organism: Cinara cedri
Lineage: Eukaryota; Metazoa; Arthropoda; Insecta; Hemiptera; Aphididae
Source: the annotation of a GenBank genome assembly